This 261-nucleotide long non-coding RNA is filed under the name Nicotiana benthamiana. RNAcentral's name for it is "long non-coding RNA (NBEN_LNC015369)". Lineage: Eukaryota; Viridiplantae; Streptophyta; Magnoliopsida; Solanales; Solanaceae. The record is from RNAcentral.
GUAAUAAGUUCAUCAAUUGAUCAUACUGUUGUCUGCUCAAUCCUGGUAUCACAGAACUCUGGCCAUUUAUUUUUGGAAUAGAUUGAUGGCAUUCAGGAGGAUUCCCAUGGGAACAGACAUAUGUCCUUCAGAAUGAGGGAAAUCCAGAUCAGCAGAAAGAUGAGCAGCAGCAGGUCUCCUCCCCUUGUUAAAAUUUAUACUUUGUGGAUACCCAUGGAUCUUGAAACACUUAUCAAUUAAGUGUCCAGAUUUUUACAGUAU